This 253-nucleotide ribosomal RNA is filed under the name uncultured bacterium. RNAcentral's name for it is "partial 16S ribosomal RNA". It matches the Rfam family "Bacterial small subunit ribosomal RNA", at positions 524 to 776 of the family's 1533-position model. The record is from RNAcentral.
UACGGAGGGGGCUAGCGUUGUUCGGAGUUAUUGGGCGUAAAGCGCGCGCAGGCGGCCUCGCGCGCCCGACGUGAAAGCCCCCGGCUUAACCGGGGAGGGUCGUUGGGGACGGCGGGGCUUGAGGGCGGGAGAGGGCGGUGGAAUUCCCGGUGUAGUGGUGAAAUGCGUAGAGAUCGGGAGGAACACCUGUGGCGAAGGCGGCCGUCUGGGCCGACCCUGACGCUGAGGCGCGAAGGCGUGGGGAGCGAACGGG